This 66-nucleotide transfer RNA is filed under the name Scelimena sp. 1 JL-2023a. RNAcentral describes it as "tRNA-Ser". Lineage: Eukaryota; Metazoa; Arthropoda; Insecta; Orthoptera; Tetrigidae. The record is from RNAcentral.
GAAAUAUUUUGCCAAUAUUAGAGCCGCUAACUCUAAGCAUAACGGUUCAACUCCGUUAAUAUUUCU